AAGUUUCAGGCUGGCUCCUCAGGGCGCCACAGCACACGAAACCGCGUUGGUUCUUACAUUUCAUCAUGCGCGCCACUCGUUAAAAGCGGCCGCCAGACGAUGAUAUGUACUUUCAGGUCGGUUUCGUGUGCUGCAUUGUUGACGCAUUUAUCUAUUGGUAUCGCAUGAACCCCAUCGUAAUAAAUCGGCUUCAGCGGAAGCUGGGCUACACUUUUCAUC
RNAcentral lists this small RNA (219 nucleotides) under Phytobacter ursingii. Its description in RNAcentral is "rncO". It matches the Rfam family "rncO". From Rfam's summary of the family: This family represents a bacterial regulatory element (rncO) found in the rnc leader sequence. The rnc operon is negatively auto-regulated by transcript stability. rnc, the first gene in the operon codes for RNase III which cleaves the long rncO stem II leading to transcript degradation and a reduction in translation. The record is from RNAcentral. Lineage: Bacteria; Pseudomonadati; Pseudomonadota; Gammaproteobacteria; Enterobacterales; Enterobacteriaceae.